RNAcentral lists this long non-coding RNA (315 nucleotides) under Pelobates cultripes (western spadefoot toad). The record is from RNAcentral. Lineage: Eukaryota; Metazoa; Chordata; Amphibia; Anura; Pelobatidae.
GGGAUUUAGGGGUGAUUAUUUCUGAUGACUUAAAGGUAGGCAGACAAUGUAAUAGAGCAGCAGGAAAUGCUAGCAGAAUGCUUGGUUGUAUAGGGAGAGGUAUUAGCAGUAGAAAGAGGGAAGUGCGCAUGCCAUUGUACAGAACACUGGUGAGACCUCACUUGGAGUAUUGUACACAGUACUGGAGACCGUAUCUUCAGAAGGAUAUUGAUACCUUAGAGAGGGUUCAGAGAAGGGCCACUAAACUGGUUAAUGGAUUGUGGGAUAAAACUUACCAGGAAAGGUUAAAGGAUCUUAACAUGUAUAGCUUGGAGG